Molecule: ribosomal RNA, 253 nt
Filed under: uncultured bacterium
Lineage: Bacteria
Description: partial 16S ribosomal RNA
Rfam family: Bacterial small subunit ribosomal RNA
Source: RNAcentral
UACGGGGGGAGCAAGCGUUGUCCGGAUUUACUGGGCGUAAAGGGCGCGUAGGCGGUAGCACAAGUCAGUUGUGAAAUCUCCGGGCUUAACUCGGAAAGGUCAACUGAUACUGUGCGACUAGAGUGCAGAAGGGGCAACUGGAAUUCUCGGUGUAGCGGUGAAAUGCGUAGAUAUCGAGAGGAACACCUGCGGCGAAGGCGGGUUGCUGGGCUGACACUGACGCUGAGGCGCGAAAGCCAGGGGAGCGAACGGG